CUUUCUUGAUUCGGUGGGUGGUGGUGCAUGGCCGUUCUUAGUUGGUGGAGCGAUUUGUCUGGUUAAUUCCGAUAACGAACGAGACUCUAGCCUGCUAACUAGGCGAUUUCCGGUACCCACAAUAGUGUUACCGGCGAUUCAAUUUCUUCUUAGAGGGACAGGCGGCUCCUAGG
RNAcentral lists this ribosomal RNA (173 nucleotides) under Phymatostetha nangla. RNAcentral's name for it is "partial small subunit ribosomal RNA". It matches the Rfam family "Eukaryotic small subunit ribosomal RNA", at positions 1257 to 1434 of the family's 1831-position model. The record is from RNAcentral. Lineage: Eukaryota; Metazoa; Arthropoda; Insecta; Hemiptera; Cercopidae.